Molecule: ribosomal RNA, 182 nt
Filed under: uncultured bacterium
Lineage: Bacteria
Description: partial 16S ribosomal RNA
Rfam family: Bacterial small subunit ribosomal RNA
Source: RNAcentral
UGAAGCUGGAGUUGCUAGUAAUCGCGAAUCAGCAUGUCGCGGUGAAUACGUUCCCGGGCCUUGUACACACCGCCCGUCACACCAUGAGAGUUGGCAAUACCCAACGUACGUGAUCUAACCCGCAAGGGAGGAAGCGUCCUAAGGUAGGGUCAGCGAUUGGGGUGAAGUCGUAACAAGGUAUC